Molecule: long non-coding RNA, 533 nt
Organism: Eufriesea mexicana
Lineage: Eukaryota; Metazoa; Arthropoda; Insecta; Hymenoptera; Apidae
Exons: 3
Source: RefSeq, a predicted model, not a curated record
ACCCAGAUUGGAACCUUCUGCUUGGAUUUACGAUUUAAAAAGGUACCCUGGUCCAUGUUCCAAAAAUUUUGGAAUUCUGUAAUUAUUUCGGCACAUGAAAAAGCAUUCUUUGGAUCUAUCAGCAUCACGUAUCGAGAAACUAAAGCCGUAAUGUUCUGCAGAAAUCAUCGGAUAUGGGAAUAGGCGAAAAGGCACGGUGGCACAGAUUAGAUAAGCGCACAUGUAACCGCUGUAUCAAAAGACACCCAAGAUUCUUCGCGAUCGAUGUUCAACAAUUCUAUCCGAGUACUCAAAUCGGCGGGCUAAAUCAAGAUUAUGCUCGAUCGGUAACAGUAAAAAAAGACAGCUGUUCGCCUAAAUCAAUAACUAUAUAAGGUACGUGCAAUAUGAAAUCAAAUAAAGAAACAAGGGGAAAGAAAGAAGUAAUAAAACAGUAACUGCUAGUAAUAAAAACAGAGACGUUCGCUAGUAUCGUGCUUCGUUGCAACGGAAUCGACGAAAUUCAAUCGUCUUUAGCGAGGAGCCAGGUCAAG